GACGAACGCUGGCGGCGUGCCUAAUACAUGCAAGUUGAGCGCUGAAGGUUGGUACUUGUACCAACUGGAUGAGCAGCGAACGGGUGAGUAACGCGUGGGGAAUCUGCCUUUGAGCGGGGGACAACAUUUGGAAACGAAUGCUAAUACCGCAUAAAAACUUUAAACACAAGUUUUAAGUUUGAAAGAUGCAAUUGCAUCACUCAAAGAUGAUCCCGCGUUGUAUUAGCUAGUUGGUGAGGUAAAGGCUCACCAAGGCGAUGAUACAUAGCCGAACUGAGAGGGUGAUCGGCCAGAUUGGGACGGAGACACGGCCCAAACGCCUACGGGAGGCAGCAGUAGGGAAUCGUCGGCCAUGGACGAAAGACUGACCGAGCAACGCGGCGUGAGUGAAGAAGGUUUUCGGAUCGUAAAACUCUGUUGGUAGAGAAGAACGUUGGUGAGAGUGGAAAGCUCAUCAAGUGACGGUAACUACUCAGAAAGGGACGGCUAACUACGUG
Molecule: ribosomal RNA, 497 nt
Filed under: uncultured bacterium
Lineage: Bacteria
Description: partial 16S ribosomal RNA
Rfam family: Bacterial small subunit ribosomal RNA
Source: RNAcentral